AUGGAAUGCUUGACUGCGAGUUUCGCCGCGAGGAAUGCGGGUAGGGAUUAUAACUUCGUAUGUCCGAGUAAGCCCGCGGGCGAGAAGCAAUGGAUUCAAGGAAGGGUUCUCUGCUAUUUUACAGCUUACACAAACUCUAGCCGAUGCUGCAAGGUUGCCACUGGGGUGUACCCCAUCAGCCCAGUUGUUGGCAGACGUUCACGCUGGAGAUCUUUCGCAGCAAGUUUGAAUUUAGAGAAUGGGCCUGCACCAUCGAGUUCGACAUCGUCUUCAUCAGGGCAGACUAGUGAGCAGCUUACCUCAGACCAGUUGAAAUCUCUUUUGGCUGAUAAAGAACGAAGUAAGCUUUUGAGAAAGCUAAGUGAAGCAAACCAGCUGAACCGGUUUCUCAAGAGACAGUCGCAAAUAAAGGAUGAUGCAAUUGUAAAGUUCAGAAGUGAACUUGCUGUUUUGGAACUUGAACUGCAGGCUUUGGUUGGCCUAGCUGAAGAGAUUGCUAAUUUUGAUGUUCCAUCAGGGUCAAGGAAGGUAAAUGGAAAAUAUAUUCAGUCUCAUCUUCUCUCCAGAUUAGAAGCUGUCCAUGACAAGGUUAUGGCACAGAUAAAGGACAUCGAGUCUUUAAGACCUCGAGAAAUCACUGUCCAUUGGGUUGGCAUGGCUGAGAACGUGCAAAUUAUGGGCUCCUUCGAUGGCUGGUCACAUGGUGAGGCAAUGUCGAGAGAAUAUUCAGGGGAUUAUGCGAGAUUCUCUGCGACUCUGAGGCUUAGACCUGGGAGCUACGAAAUCAAGUUCUUGGUGGACGGGGAGUGGAAACUGUCAUCGGAAUACCCGAUUACCGGCGAGGGAUUGACACAGAACAAUAAACUCGUCGUGCAAUAG
This 879-nucleotide ribosomal RNA is filed under the name Triticum aestivum (bread wheat). Its description in RNAcentral is "partial small subunit ribosomal RNA". Lineage: Eukaryota; Viridiplantae; Streptophyta; Magnoliopsida; Poales; Poaceae. The record is from RNAcentral.